RNAcentral lists this transfer RNA (65 nucleotides) under Dipodomys ordii (Ord's kangaroo rat). It matches the Rfam family "tRNA". From Rfam's summary of the family: Transfer RNA (tRNA) molecules are approximately 80 nucleotides in length. Lineage: Eukaryota; Metazoa; Chordata; Mammalia; Rodentia; Heteromyidae. The record is from Rfam by way of RNAcentral.
GGUGGUUCAGUGGUAGAAUACUUGCCUUGCAUGCAUGAGGCCCUGGGUUCAAUUCCUCAGCACCA